This 253-nucleotide ribosomal RNA is filed under the name uncultured bacterium. Its description in RNAcentral is "partial 16S ribosomal RNA". It matches the Rfam family "Bacterial small subunit ribosomal RNA", at positions 524 to 776 of the family's 1533-position model. The record is from RNAcentral.
AACGUAGGGGGCGAGCGUUAUCCGGAAUCACUGGGCGUAAAGGGCGUCUAGGCGGCUUCUCAAGUCUUGCGUGAAAGCUCCCGGCUCAACUGGGAGAGCGCGUGGGAAACUGGGAGGCUUGAGACGUGGAGGGGUGCAUGGAAUUCCCGGUGGAGUGGUGGAAUGCGUUGAGAUCGGGAGGAACACCAGAAGCGAAAGCGGUGCACUGGCCACGGACUGACGCUGAAGCGCGAAAGCCAGGGGAGCAAACGGG